Gavialis gangeticus (Gharial) is the source of this 89-nucleotide long non-coding RNA. RefSeq lists it as uncharacterized. The record is from RefSeq and is a predicted model, not a curated record. The transcript is spliced from 4 exons. Lineage: Eukaryota; Metazoa; Chordata; Crocodylia; Gavialidae.
GGGGGGGCACAUGCAGGAGGAAGGAUCCAUCUUCAGGGCUUGAUGAAGACUCUAGCAGUUGCGUUCAAUAAAAGGAUUGAGCAUGGUAA